RNAcentral lists this long non-coding RNA (7244 nucleotides) under Setaria italica (foxtail millet). RNAcentral describes it as "long non-coding RNA (SITA_LNC004288)". Lineage: Eukaryota; Viridiplantae; Streptophyta; Magnoliopsida; Poales; Poaceae. The record is from RNAcentral.
AAGAUUCCAAUCUCUUAAAGCUUCCUGUAUGACAUUAAAUGGACCACUAUCAGAAUCCAGUACGCAGGCCUCCUUAAAAUGUAUCAUCCUUUCUAAACUAGUAGGUGAGGACCAAAACACACCAAAUUUGAUGAUUUUCCUUAAGUUUACAUUCAGAAUCAAUAAAAUGCACUGCCAGACAGAGAUACUUCACUGAGGCCUCAGCUCCAUGAGGAGCCCACACACUUGCUGAUAAGGAAACCCGAUGGGAUAAAAGAGCAAUCUUUUUCCUUUAGAUCAGUCUUUUCUUUCUGAAAUAAAAGAGUUGAAUACUCUUCUAUAUCAAUGCUCGAAGCCAUGUUAAAUGCAGGGUUCAGGCUCUUUGCAAACCUUUUCAUUUCUUCAUGUUCCACAAUUGACAAGGGAUAGCCAUGUUCCACAAUUGACAAGAGAUAGCCUGAUCAUCAUGUUGCUCGAUGUCGGCGCAGGCAUCAACUUCGGCGACUGCGACGGAUUAUCUGGCCCAACAUGAUCGCCGCCGGCGUCAGGACGGCCGACGACCCAGCAGCACCCAUCGGCCCCGCGCUCGCAGGGUUCGCCGGUGCACGUGCGUUCAUGCGGCGCAACCUCGCCGUCGUGGGGCUCGUCAUGGUAUCCUCUGCUUUCACAGCGGUUGACAGGCCCGGCGUUCUCCUUCAUGAUAUUUGUCCUGCUGGUGUUCGGAGUCUCUGUGAUCAACAUCGGAGUCCAUGGUGCCUUAUGAAAGCAAUUUCAAGCUAUCCUAAAAUAAGUAGACAUUUGUAUAAACUAGAAUAACCAUAUAACUGGUGCGUAUUUCAAACAGCUCAUCCUUUGGAUUUAUUCAAAUCAUCAGCCUAGCGAAAAAAAAGUCUAGGCCAUCAAACAGACGAGCCUGCUUACAUUCUCGGACCAGUAGCUUUUGAAGAAGCUCUGAGUAAGAAACUGAGCAAUAACAACGACGACAGUGGAACAGAAUUUCCAGAGCCCGCCUAUCCUAGACUUAGAGAAAACCGGCCAUUGCCAUGGAGACGCCGGCGAACAUGACGACGGCCAGUCCGAAAGCCACCACCGGGGUGACGGCGCCAACGGCGACGGCAUGGACAGCUGAGGAUGCGGCCACGAUCCCCAGCAUAGAUGAGAGGCUGCCACGACCGCGACGGUGCUCGUUUCCCCGCCCGUCGUCUUCACCGGACGCCUUCUUGGCUCCCGGUGAAGCCAGCAAUCAGACUUCACCGCCUUGGCACCUCUUGAGUCGUCUGGUGAACCAGUUGAAAGAUGAUAGAUGGUAGGAUAUCCAAGAGAGUUCAACUGUGCUGACAACACUACUAUCCGAAGUUCCCAACAGCAUGGAAUCAACAGUACCAUCCGCAAAUGUGCUGACAACAGUACUGACAACUAUCCAAGAGAGUCAUGCCGGUGGAACAACGAGGAACCAAAAUCAGUUAAGAGUCCUGCCGCACGGCAGCCACCCGGUGGAAGCUGUUCAGUUCUCUCAUGCUACAUGACAAAUUAUUUGUCCAAAACGUCAUCUUAUUCUGAACAGAGAUAGCAUGUAGCAGAUUCUUAGUUGAUUAGCAUUUCCUAGGACAAGAAUAAUUUUAGGAAACUUGCAAACAGAUACUCAAAACAUCACGCUUUCAUCAAACUAUGCACGUGAUUGCAUUUUAUCCAAUGCUGACACAUAGUUUUUUUUUUUGAAGAAACAGGAGGGGAGGGUCCCUACUGGUUAUACGAGAGCGAAGCAAAAGGGAAAACAGAAAAGAAAACAUACUACAAGGUGUGCAGCCUGUCAUUAUUUGUCUUACAUCAUCUCUCAGAAGAGACAGUAUGGCAUUACAUGGCCAGAGGAAAGAAGGACACUUGAACUAUAGUAGCGCACAUUCAUUAUUUGAGCCCACACGGCAUGAGAAUGACAGCAAGCAGGAGGCAGCAGCAGCAACAGAUACUCAAUGCAUCUGGGAGAGGCCAAGAAUCCCAACGCUGAUCAGGGAGAGGCCGAGGAGGAGCAGAGCAAACAUGCCGAAGCAGAGCACCUGGCCUGCUUCGCCGGAGACCGCCGUGACGGCGCAGGAAGCCAUCACGAGCCCCACGACGGCGAGGUUGCGACCAAGGAACUCUGCGAGAGCACGCGCCUCGGCCAACACCGCCGGGACGACGGGCGCCAGGAUGCCGACGGCGACGAUGUUGGCGCCGGCGAGAACCCCCGCGAAGCAGAGCAGCAAGCCGAAUCCGCCGGCGCCGGAGUUGAAUCCGGCGCUGACGGAGAACAGCAAGAUGGCGAGGCCGGCGAACAUCGCCGUGGUGCCCGGAGUGGUCAUCGUCGGCCGCGUGGCACCGCAGUCCCCUGCUUAAUUGGAGAGGGCCGUCGAGCGAGCAGGCGAGGCACCGCCGCACCGGGGAGGGAAGCGUUGCCGAAGAGGCAAAGAAUGCAGCGGGAGGAGGAGGAGGAUGAGCUGGGCGGUGCGCAGCGGACGGGGAGAGCCGGAGGAGCGAGAUGGUUGGGGUAGGGGAGGCCGGGGAGGGCAUUUAUACCGGGGAAGGGGAGAGGUAGCCGGGCUGGGACGAGGCCUAAAGGUGGCAACGGACAUUAGUUUUAUACCGAGAGGUGGCCGGGCCGCCGGCCCGCCGGGUGCAAAGUCUGAUAAAUGAUGCGUGGGGUCCGCCGUGGUGUCGACAACCCUCACCUGCCGCCUGGGCGUAGGAAGUGUUAAGGAAGUAAGCAAUUACUAGCCAUACACUAUUAAGAUAUAACAUAUUUUUCAAAGAGUAUAAAUAAUUAUAUAAUUUUCUAGAUUUCAAGUGUUCAACAAAUAGGCUCAAACAAUACAUAGAAUAUUGAAGGUAGAAAAGUACUAAAUUAAGAGUCUUUCAUGAAAAAAAAAGAACUAUACAUGUCUUCAUGAAUUAACACCACUUCCACUUGUUCCGACGACCUCAAUUCCACAUAAAAAUUUUCAACAUCUCAGCCCUAUAACAUUAUGUAUUGAAAUAGACUAACACAACACAAGUAAACAACACAACAACACGCACCAUGUUAAUACUAAUUACUACCGGGAUAUUUGAUUCUUAUUUAUAGUGACGAUUAUAUGUCUCUGAAGGAUAUUUGAGAUUUUUUUGUUUAUAUAAGUUUUUUUAAUACUGCCAUGUUGGGGUUGAUUACUGUUCCAAUUUGAUACAAAUUUAUUUUCUGGGAACUUGUCGGAAUAUGUUCCUAAUUUAUUGAUAGGCUUUUGGUUUAGACGGACAAAUUGCAGCUCUCGUUUCUUAAACCUUGAAAGCGCUUUUGAAUGCGGCUGGAGAUUCCCACCGUCGUGUCGUGUCGUGUCGGCAACCGAUGAGAUUGGAUUCAUAUCAUAUUGUUGCGGCCGCACUGCUUCGGAGGAAGUUGAAGAAUUGGAGAAGAAGGUAACGGACACUGGCCGGGCCGCCGUGGUGUCCAGUGGAUGUUUGGGAGGAGAGGGGUAGAGGACUAUGUAUAUCAUAUUGUUAUUGAUGCCACACUUCGUGGGAAACUCUGGGCAUCCCACAUGCGUUCUCUGAAACUCUGAAUAAAAUAUGAUUAAACCAUCCGGCGGCGCGCGCUGCCGUCGUGUCGUCGCCUGCAGCUCACUGGCGUCAAGGACAGCGCGUGGGCCCAGCUCACUGUUGACGCGCGAUGUUGCAGCUCGAGUGAACAUCGCAGUAUCGGCAUUCCACUCAGUUCAGGUCGAUGGACUGGCUGGUGGGGUCAGGUCGCGAGGACCCCGACCCAGUUCAUGAUCUGGGCUGAAACGGGCUGUUUACGUGCUACCGGCCACUUACUGGGCCUUCGGCGCAUUAGAAAUUGGGUUGUGUUUCCCCACGAACUGGGUCCGAAUAGCGGCACAACAUGGAUUCGGGCCCAGCUGGAUGUCGCUUUCCUCUCGCCUGGAAACCUCGAAUGGACACAUUUCCUAGCUGGCGCCAUUCACAAAAUGCAAUAUGAGUGCCUUAAAAUUCAAGUUGAGAUUUUGCAGUACGCCACGAUAACAUAGACAGAAUAUCAAAUGACUUCUCAGGUUAAAGCAGCAGCACAUCAUUCGCACUGUACAAAUAAUCUGCACCAGAAGCCUAACAAAAUCCUAGGCAACAAUGCAUAAUACAUGUCAACACCUAGAAGCUCUCCUUUUUAGCUUCUGCAAUACACACUCCCGGGGAAAGAUUCGCUCAAAUAUACAAGCACAUACCAGUGGCUGCAAGAUGUUGGCCAGUGCACUCUUUUCUGAUAUCAUCCUAGGUUCCUGAGUUAGAAGCACCAUGGUUAUGAACUGCUUGUAAUCUUCUGUUGAUAAUUAAAAAAAAAGGAAGCAUGCUAUCAGCUGUCAGCUUAUUGGUAGUUAGCAGCAGCAUGAUAAAUGGGCUGUGCAAGGAACCACUUGCCCCCAGAGAGCGUCCAGUGUCACGAAUAUUUCUAUUCCACGCAAUACAAGCAAUUUAAUCCCCCCCCCCCCUCUAUUACUCGUAUUUGCAUGAUGCUAAAUUGACAAUACUAAAGUGCAUACUGUUUCAAAUUUUCCCUCCAUUACUUGUAUUUACAUAUUGUUUCGUAAAGGGAAAUUCAUCAUGACUAAAUUGCAUCAUAGGCACAGUGACUAGCAAGGUAAGGUCUAUGACAAACCCCUGACAUCCUUGAUCUGCAAGCCUGCAAUGCAUAUUACUCUAUCUUUUCCAAGUUCAGAGAAUGCAUGCUCACCAUAACAGAAACACAAUAUUCAUACUUUUAGUUGAGAACAAGGGUUUUGCUAAGGUACUCCCAAAUGACUGUGGACCGUUGAUCUAAUAACAUAUUACCUCAUAGGAAGUAAUAUUAUAUCUAUUUUUUAAAUCUGAAAAUAGGAAAAGUAUUUUUCUAUUAGAUCUAACUUCCACACAUGAUUGUACUAUAUCAUAUCUAAGUUUCUUUUUUGCCUCCCACGUGAACAUGGAUGGCGGUUCUGGUUCAAAAAACGAGAGACGAACAUGACACCUUUAUGUGACAUGGAUCCGUUCGAAAAAAAUGUGACAUAAGUCAAGUAAAUGUGUUGCAUGGAGAAAUGUGUCAUGGCCAUCUCUUUUUUUCCCCAUGCGGGUGCAGAUGUUUCGUUUCAAAGAAGAAAUGCAGAUGCAGAUGUUUCGUUUCAAAGAAGAAAUGCAGAUGCAAAUGUUAAAUUGCAUGUCAUGAGGAGAUGUUCAAGUAAACAUGAAGAUGUUCAAGUAUUUUUUUUUUCUCCAUCCAGAUGCGGACUGUUAAAAUGUUAUGAUGUCGGUUGCAACUAAAAGAAAAGAAAUUGCAUGUUCACAUGCAGAUGUUGGACCUGUUCCUCCGAUCCUAAAUUGAAGGAAGCCGUGAUAAUGGGGAGCCGGUUGUUUCUUUUUUUUUGUUGCCUUUUUUAAUAUUAAGGGCCUCAUUAAUUUGAACUCUUACCUCCUAGGAGGUAAUCGGUGUACUGUAGCAUUGCCCUGAGAACAAACCUUUUUUCUGUAAGCUACUGCAGAUCCUACUGAUUUACUGGUGUUUAUCUUUUCAGUAAUUAUUCUAGUGAUGCAGUUUCAAUAUUGUUAGUUGAGAGCAAACCCCUUGUUUGACCUAAGGCAGAUCCUAUUGAUUUACUGAUGUUUUUCCAGUAACCAUCUAGCAAGAAAAAAUGGAUGGUGUGAUGGUCCUAUUGCUACUAAUUGUCUAGCUAAUAAAAUAUGAUAAUGUGAAUGCUCCAACUCCAACAGUGCAAAAUUUUAUUGAGAACUGACAUGUCAAAUAUAAACAAAAAUUCCAAUAAAAAGGAGUAUCUUUAUAAAAAUUAAAUAAGCAAAGAAGGAAACCAACGGAACGACCAAAGUGAAAAUAUUACCUUUCUAUUUAAUCCAAUCUCGAGUACAUACAAGAGCCUCAAUUGUUUUGAUAUUUAAUGUGCUCCAUUGCUUAUGAAUCAUAUUUCCCUCACUGCUCAAUGCAGCUUCACAAUUAACAGCAGAAGCUGGCAUUGCCAGGACAUCACGUGCCAUAAUUGACAGAGUUGGAUACUUUGUAGAAUUAUUCAUCCACCAGUUCAGAAUAUCGAAAUCAUCCUUUCUCGGGACAAGACCAUCUUCAAGGUAGUUGUCAAGUUCUGUCAUUAGUUGGCUCCUUGUCUGUGCAUUAAGAUGCUCAUCCCAAUCUUCCAAUGAAUCACUAUCAAAUCCAUCAAACUCAACAAUACGAGCUUCACGAGUUGAUGUGUCAAGCCCUGACUUCUCUGAAGGACCACAAUAUUCAUGGAACAGCUCCCUUAUUGCAUCACGCACGGCAGAUACAUACUUCUCCGCAUCAGUACCAAAAGCUCGCUUUAGACGGAACUCAAUAAAAGUAAUUUUGAAUCUCGGAUCAAGAACAACAGGUAUUGACAGCCACACGUAUGAACUUUGCCAAUACUCAUUGAACGCUUCUUGCAUCACCCAAACCAUGUUAGCAAGUUCAGUGUGAUCAGAGGAUGCUUCUUCUUGCAAAGUUGUUCUAACUUUCCAUAGUUCAUUGAAGUAUAUAUUUGCUGUGGGGCAAACAGGACCAGAAAUUACUUCAACAGCACGAUAAAAAGCCCUCAGUAUCCUGCAAACAGAUUCCACAGUUUUAGUAUCUUCUGCAGAUAACAAUUCUUCCGAGGGGAAUGCCUUCUUGAAAUGCAGAAAAACUUCAAGCCUGAAGUAAAUUUUAUGCCACCAUUUUGCAUCCUCCUGUGGGCACUUCAAUCCAAUAUGUGUAACAACUUCUAAAAGUUGCUGCCGAGUCAGCGAUGAGGACAUUUGUACCUGAAUAAAUUUCUCUAGUAUGUCACCAACAUGGUGAAGCACUGGUUGCCCUUUUGAAACAAUGCUGUUAAGCACAUCAUCCACACAAGCAACAUUGUACAGUUCACCUCUAAUAGGAAGGCAUUUUCUUUGGAUGAGCAAGUCCAUCAGCUUUGAGGUACCCUCAUCGCUUCUAAUUGCAUUGACAGAUGUCAAGCUGAAAUGCUUCUGAUCAAGAUUCCAAUCUCUUAAAGCUUCCUGUAUGACAUUAAAUGGUCCACUAUCAGAAUCCAGUACGCAGGCCUCCUUAAAAUGUAUCAUCCUUUCUAAACUAGUAGGUGAGGACCAAAACACACCAAAUUUGAUGAUUUUCCUUUGAAGUUUCCAUUCAGAAUCAAUAAAAUGCACUGCCAGACAGAGAUACUUCACUGAGGCCUCAGCUCCAUGAGGAGCCCACACACUUGCUGAUAAGGAAACCCGAUGGG